Molecule: unclassified non-coding RNA, 365 nt
Filed under: Hevea brasiliensis (rubber tree)
Lineage: Eukaryota; Viridiplantae; Streptophyta; Magnoliopsida; Malpighiales; Euphorbiaceae
Source: RNAcentral
UCAUGACAUGGAAACAAUAUAAUACCACCAAGGAUUUACAUUGAUAACGUAAACUAGUGUUAUACAAAAUAGAAUAACCUUUGAUAAAUGUAAAAAUAGAGAACAAUAAUACAACCAAAUCUGCACCCGCAGUUAUUUUGUUCAACUCUCCCACAACCCCCACCCAAAGUAAGCAUCUAAAAGAAAUAGUGAAACUUCAAUCACCGUAUUCCUUUCUUCCUUUUCAUUUUUUCUUAAAUUAAGUCCUAUAAUACAUUACUAUAUUAUAUGCAGUUUAAAUACUUGUGUGUAUAAAACAUCCUUAAGAUACUGUAAUGCCAUCUUUGUUUAUGCUAUGAGAGUUGGAAUCAAGGAGAUUCUCAAGU